RNAcentral lists this ribosomal RNA (957 nucleotides) under Distoseptispora chinensis. RNAcentral describes it as "SSU rRNA". It matches the Rfam family "Eukaryotic small subunit ribosomal RNA", at positions 94 to 1060 of the family's 1831-position model. Lineage: Eukaryota; Fungi; Ascomycota; Sordariomycetes; Distoseptisporaceae. The record is from RNAcentral.
UGGCUCAUUAAAUCAGUUAUCGUUUAUUUGAUAGCACCUUACUACUUGGAUAACCGUGGUAAUUCUAGAGCUAAUACAUGCUGAAAAUCCCGACUUCGGAAGGGAUGUAUUUAUUAGAUUAAAAACCAAUGCCCUCCGGGGCUCACUGGUGAUUCAUGAUAACUUCUCGAAUCGCAUGGCCUUGCGCCGGCGAUGGUUCAUUCAAAUUUCUGCCCUAUCAACUUUCGACUGCUGGGUCUUGGCCAGCAAUGGUGACAACGGGUAACGGAGGGUUAGGGCUCGACCCCGGAGAAGGAGCCUGAGAAACGGCUACUACAUCCAAGGAAGGCAGCAGGCGCGCAAAUUACCCAAUCCCGACACGGGGAGGUAGUGACAAUAAAUACUGAUACAGGGCUCUUUUGGGUCUUGUAAUUGGAAUGAGUACAAUUUAAAUCCCUUAACGAGGAACAAUUGGAGGGCAAGUCUGGUGCCAGCAGCCGCGGUAAUUCCAGCUCCAAUAGCGUAUAUUAAAGUUGUUGCAGUUAAAAAGCUCGUAGUUGAACCUUGGGCCUGGCCGGCCGGUCCGCCUCACCGCGUGCACUGGUUCGGCCGGGCCUUUUCCUCUGGCGAGCCCCAUGCCCUUCACUGGGCGUGUGGGGGAACCAGGACUUUUACUUUGAAAAAAUUAGAGUGUUCAAAGCAGGCCUAUGCUCGAAUACAUUAGCAUGGAAUAAUAGAAUAGGACGUGCGGUUCUAUUUUGUUGGUUUCUAGGACCGCCGUAAUGAUUAAUAGGGACAGUCGGGGGCAUCAGUAUUCAAUUGUCAGAGGUGAAAUUCUUGGAUUUAUUGAAGACUAACUACUGCGAAAGCAUUUGCCAAGGAUGUUUUCAUUAAUCAGGAACGAAAGUUAGGGGAUCGAAGACGAUCAGAUACCGUCGUAGUCUUAACCAUAAACUAUGCCGACUAGGGAUCGGACGA